Molecule: long non-coding RNA, 501 nt
Organism: Heterocephalus glaber (naked mole-rat)
Lineage: Eukaryota; Metazoa; Chordata; Mammalia; Rodentia; Bathyergidae
Source: Ensembl
AGAAGAGGAUGGGAAAAGAAUUAAAAUGUGUUAUGUACAGGUACCAACUCCCCACGAAGAAUGUAAGCACUGUAUACUACAAACAUGCACUAAUAAAAAUUGAAAAAAUGUCUUUUUCUUAUGAGGGUGUUGAGUACUGGGAAUUGUACCCUUCACACUAAGCUACAGUAUAUCCCCAGCCCUUUUUAUUUUUUAUUUUGAAACAGGAUCUCCAUAAGUCACUGAAUUUCCCAGACUGGGCUUGAAAUGGCAAUCCUCUUGCCACUCGAGAGUGCUGGUAUUACUGGUGUGUGCUGCGACUCCUGGCUAAGCAGACUUGUAAUUCCAAUGUCCUCCAGAAUGGCUCUACGUACUGCUGAAGCAUAAAGAGAUCUGCUUAACUACAAGAUUCCAUGAAAAUGAUUUCCAUAUUUGUCCUUUUCCUGGGAACAGCUUCUUCCAUUGCAGCUACUGCUGCGAUGGCUCUCACUAUGUUGCCCAGGCUGCCCCUCAAUUCCUGAG